AGAGCGAACGCUGGCGGCAGGCCUAACACAUGCAAGUCGAGCGCCCGUAGCAAUACGGGAGCGGCAGACGGGAUAGUAACACGUGGGAACGCGCCCUUCGGUUCGGAAUAACUCAGGGAAACUUGAGCUAAUACCGGAUACGCCCUUACGGGGAAAGAUUUAUUGCCGAAGGAACGGCCCGCGUCCGAUUAGCUAGUUGGUGAGGUAAUGGCUCACCAAGGCGACGAUCGGUAGCUGGUCUGAGAGGAUGACCAGCAUCACUGGGACUGAGACACGGCCCAGACUCCUACGGGAGGCAGCAGUGGGGAAUAUUGGACAAUGGGCGCAAGCCUGAUCCAGCCAUGCCGCGUGGAUGAUGAAGGCCUUAGGGUUGUAAAGUCCGUUUUAACGGGGAAGUAUAAUGACGGUACCGUAGAAUAAGCCCCGGCUAACUUCGUGCCAGCAGCCGC
This 449-nucleotide ribosomal RNA is filed under the name uncultured bacterium. RNAcentral describes it as "SSU rRNA". It matches the Rfam family "Bacterial small subunit ribosomal RNA", at positions 26 to 518 of the family's 1533-position model. The record is from RNAcentral.